RNAcentral lists this ribosomal RNA (465 nucleotides) under uncultured bacterium. Its description in RNAcentral is "partial 16S ribosomal RNA". It matches the Rfam family "Bacterial small subunit ribosomal RNA", at positions 28 to 507 of the family's 1533-position model. The record is from RNAcentral.
GAUGAACGCUGGCGGCGUGCUUAACACAUGCAAGUCGAACGGAAAGGCUCCUGUUUGCCGGGGUUCUCGAGUGGCGAACGGGUGAGUAACACGUGGGUGAUCUGCCCUGCACUUCGGGAUAUGCCUGGGCAACUGGGUCUAAUACAGGCGAGGACGAUGGGUGGGAUGCCAUUGUGGAAAGUUUUUCGGUGUGGGAUGAGCUCGCGGGCUAUCAGCUUGUUGGGGGGUUAAUGGCCAACCAGGGGGUCGGCUGAUAACCGGCCCGGGGGGUGAUACGCCCUCAUUGGUACUAAGAGACGGCCCAGUCUCGUAUGGGAGGCAGCAGGCGGGAGUAUUGCACAAUGAGGGCAAGCCUGAUGCGGCGACGCCGCGUGGGGGAUGACGGCCUUCGGGUGGUAAACUGCUGUCACUAGGUACGAAGCUCAAGUGACGGUACCUGGAGAAGAAGCACCGGCUAACUACGUG